RNAcentral lists this transfer RNA (73 nucleotides) under Opsariichthys bidens. RNAcentral's name for it is "tRNA-Asp". It matches the Rfam family "tRNA". From Rfam's summary of the family: Transfer RNA (tRNA) molecules are approximately 80 nucleotides in length. Their secondary structure includes four short double-helical elements and three loops (D, anti-codon, and T loops). Lineage: Eukaryota; Metazoa; Chordata; Actinopteri; Cypriniformes; Xenocyprididae. The record is from RNAcentral.
AAGACAUUAGUAAAAUAUGGAAUUACACCACCUUGUCGAGGUGAAAUCGCAGGUUAGACCCCUGUAUGUCUUA